Molecule: non-coding RNA, 88 nt
Filed under: unclassified sequences
Source: RNAcentral
GGCGGAACAAUAGCCGCCAGGCAACUAAAACGGCCACACCGUGAACGGGUGCGAGUGUCCCAAGCCACUAUAAACCGUUGAGGGGUUG